CAGUAUUCAUUAUAACCCAGUGAGGUAUAUGUGUGAUGUCUUCUUGAAAUAAAUAUUCACGUUUCUGUAUUUCGCUAAUUUGUACUAAAUCCACCCGAAUCGUCGAUAAAUUUGAUUAGACGAAUAUGAACAUCACAGUCACGGUAUAGCAAGACGAUGAUCUCGUGUGAUUUUUAAAACAUAAUUACUGAUUUGUGAAGUUUUUGAUUUGUGAUGAUAAUCUGUGGGCAAUAAGAUAUUAUGUCAUGUUUGUUUGUGUAAUAUGAGUUGUUCUGAAGUGAUGUAUCAAGCUUAUUAUCCGUAUUUGUACCAACGGGCUGGAGCUGCGCCGCCGGUUUCAGCUCAUCCAGUGCCCAGGACUGGACCGUUCAGUUCUCCUUUCACAGCAACACAUCAAUACGAAAGAUUCAAUGUACAAAGAUUACAAGAAGCGCACUCUUUACCUCAGACAAGUGCUGCAAGUAGCGUUGGUGCUAGUAUCGGUGGAUUAUCAGAAGCACACCCCCUUGCGGGACAUAGUAUAUAUCUUCAAGGAUCAGCUCACAGCUCCGGGGGUUCAGUAAGUUCCACCGGCGGUGUAUCCCCAUCUAGUCCACUUCGAAUAGGAAAAGAAGAAGACUGUAGUCUUCACGGUAGGAGUAGUACAGAAGAUCAUCAUCAUGGUGACGAUGAGGAUUCUCAUGACGCGAGUGGGUCGCGGGCACAAUACGUUUCAGCCAAUUGUGUUGUUUUCACACAUUAUCAGGGUGACGCCGCUUCGGUGGUCGAUGAACAUUUUUCAAAAGCACUGGAUAAGACUGCGGCGCAUGCGAAAGAUUCGCCGAUGACAGCUCGAAAUUUUCCCCCUUCUUUCUGGAAUAGUCAGCAUUACAGCGGUGCUAGUAGCAGCAGUCAUCACAGUAAUACCACCGAUCUGUACCCAGAACACUACCACCAGGAUGCCUGGUAUCAAUACAGUCAGCAUCAUCGGGCAGUUCACGAUUAUCAUCACCACAAUAUGGCCGCUCAGUACGGUGGACUAUUGUUGCCAGGGUCUAGGUUACAUAUGGGAUCUCACGCCCCUUGUAAAGCGAUGGAUUGGCAACAUCCAUCGAUAGACUCACCUUAUUCUUCUUAUCCUACCAUGUCAGAAUUGACUUCGUUGGAGAUAAACAGGCGGUUUUAAUUUAAACUAAGGAACUGAAUUACAUGGUUUUCACCAAGAUGAGUUUUUACCACUGUCCACUACAAUUGUUUCGCUAUCACAAUAGCUUCUAGAGGCCUGGAAGCUCAAGUACAAGAUUCCUCAAAAGAAAUCUACUGGUUCUGAGAUAUAAGUGCAAACAAUGAAAUGAUGAAUUGCACUAGUGAUUACGAAGUGAAACAUGUGAAAAGUACAAACUCUUACCACUUAAUUAUUGAGGACGAAAAAACAAUUCGAGUGAGUUUGAUAUUUAGUGAACGUAUCUAAUGGAUUAAUGUUCCUGUUCUGAAAACAGAUAAUGUAAUAUAGUAACUAACGAUAAUCAUUGUUCGAAUAUUAAAUAUUGAUGAUAUG
RNA transcript from Coccinella septempunctata (seven-spotted ladybird), 1537 nucleotides. It is a transcript of the gene named protein vestigial, with no coding region annotated. Lineage: Eukaryota; Metazoa; Arthropoda; Insecta; Coleoptera; Coccinellidae. The record is from RefSeq and is a predicted model, not a curated record. The transcript is spliced from 6 exons.